CGUAAAACUCUGUUGUUAGGGAAGAACAAAUUUGUUAGUAACUGAACAAGUCUUGACGGUACCUAACCAGAAAGCCACGGCUAACUACGUGCCAGCAGCCGCGGUAAUACGUAGGUGGCAAGCGUUAUCCGGAAUUAUUGGGCGUAAAGCGCGCGUAGGCGGUUUCUUAAGUCUGAUGUGAAAGCCCACGGCUCAACCGUGGAGGGUCAUUGGAAACUGGGGAACUUGAGUGCAGAAGAGGAGAGUGGAAUUCCAUGUGUAGCGGUGAAAUGCGCAGAGAUAUGGAGGAACACCAGUGGCGAAGGCGGCUCUCUGGUCUGUAACUGACGCUGAUGUGCGAAAGCGUGGGGAUCAAACAGGAUUAGAUACCCUGGUAGUCCACGCCGUAAACGAUGAGUGCUAAGUGUUAGGGGGGUUUCCGCCCCUUAGUGCUGCAGCUAACGCAUUAAGCACUCCGCCUGGGGAGUACGACCGCAAGGUUGAAACUCAAAGGAAUUGACGGGGACCCGCACAAGCGGUGG
This 521-nucleotide ribosomal RNA is filed under the name Mammaliicoccus fleurettii. Its description in RNAcentral is "bacterial SSU rRNA". It matches the Rfam family "Bacterial small subunit ribosomal RNA", at positions 424 to 935 of the family's 1533-position model. Lineage: Bacteria; Bacillati; Bacillota; Bacilli; Caryophanales; Staphylococcaceae. The record is from RNAcentral.